AACGUGAUGGCGUCAGGGGCCGGGGCGCUGCUUCCUGUUGUCAGUGGCCGAGAGACCGCAUCGUCGGCUCGGAGGCUGAGGGGCUGCCGCAGCCGGGAGCCCCCCUCGCCUCGCUCCUCGCUCCGCUUGGUGUCAUGUGAUUCUCUGAGGGAGCAGCUGCGUGAGUGGAGAUGCUUUCAGUGGUGGAGAAUGGACUGGACCCCCAGGCUGCCAUCCCGACACAUCAUCUCAGAGUUGGAGCACCUGACGUUUGUCAACAUGGAUGUGGGCCGCUGCCGGGCAUGGCUGCGGCUGGCCCUGAACAAUGGCCUGAUGGAGUGCUACCUGAAGCUGCUGCUGCAGGAGCAGGCCCGCUUGCAACUACAGCGGAAGGAAUCUCUGGAUUCCAUUUCCCAUUCUUCAGGCUCUGAAGACAUCGAAGUCCAUCACUCGGGCCAUAAGAUACGGAGGAACCAGAAGCCGACUGCCUCCUCCCUCAGCCUGGACACGGCCAGUUCAUCCCAGCUGUCCUGCAGCCUAAACUCUGAUAGCUGCUUACUCCAAGAGAAUGGCUCCAAGAGUCCAGACCAUUGCGAGGAGCCCAUGUCCUAUGACUCAGACCUGGGCACAGCAAAUGCUGAGGACUCAGACCAGUCUCUGCAAGAAAAAACAAGAGCUGGAUCUCAGAGGAUGACUUCUACCGGCCUUCCCGGGAGCAACCCCUGAAGAGUGCUUCAGACCACCCAAUAGCUUCUUACAGGGGGACUCCAGAGUCAAGGCCUGGUCUCCACAGGCAUUUUUCUCAAGAACCAAGAAAAAACUGCUCCCUGGGGGCGUUAGACCAAGCGUGUGUACCUUCCCCAGGAAGAAGGCAAGCCCAGGCAGCCCCAUCCCAGGGGCAUAAGAGUUUCCAGGUGGUACACCGGAGGCAGAUGGGACUGUCCAACCCAUUCCAGGGUCUCAUGAAGCUGGGCACCGUGGAGCGGCAGGGGGCAAUGGGCAUCUGGAAGGAGCUCUUCUGCGAGCUCUCCCCACUGGAGUUCCGCCUCUACCUGAGCAACGAGGAGCACACCUGUGUGGAGAACUGCUCCCUGCUUCGCUGUGAGUCUGUGGGGCCAGCCCACAGUGACGGGCGCUUUGAGCUGGUCUUCUCUGGCAAGAAGCUGGCCCUGCGCGCCUCCUCCCAGGACGAAGCUGAGGACUGGCUGGACCUGGUGCGGGAGGCCCUGCAGAAGGUCCGGCCUCAGCAGGAGGAUGAGUGGGUGAACGUGCAGUACUCAGACCAGCCUGAGGAACCCCCCGAGGCGCCCCAGGGCUGCCUCUCUCCCUCAGACCUGCUCUCGGAGCCCGCGGCCCUCCAGGGCACACAGUCUGACUGGUCGUCCGCCCAGGUUCCAGAGCUAGAUGCCAUCAAGGAGUCCCUGCUGUACUUGUACAUGGACAGGACCUGGAUGCCCUAUAUAUUUUCUCUGCCCUUGGAGGCUCUGAAAUGUUUCCGCAUCAGGAACAAUGAGAAGAUGCUGAGUGACAGCCACGGCGUGGAGACCAUCCGGGACAUCCUGCCAGACACCAGCCUUGGGGGCCCAUCCUUCUUCAAAAUCAUCACGGCCAAGGCUGUCCUGAAGCUGCAGGCCGGAAACGCCGAGGAAGCCGCCCUGUGGAGGGAUCUGGUCCGCAAAGUCCUGGCAUCCUACUUGGAGACAGCCGAGGAGGCGGUGACCCUGGGCGGGAGCCUGGAUGAAAACUGUCAGGAGGUGCUGAAAUUUGCCACCCGGGAGAAUGGCUUCCUGCUGCAGUACCUGGUGGCCAUCCCCAUGGAGAAAGGCCUUGACUCCCAAGGCUGCUUCUGCGCAGGCUGCUCCCGGCAGAUCGGCUUCUCCUUUGUACGACCCAAGCUCUGUGCCUUCUCUGGCCUCUAUUACUGUGACAUCUGCCACCAAGACGAUGCCUCAGUGAUUCCGGCCAGGAUCAUCCACAACUGGGACCUCACCAAGCGCCCGAUCUGCAGGCAGGCCCUGAAGUUUCUGACGCAGAUCCGGGCCCAGCCCCUCAUCAACCUGCAGAUGGUGAACGCGUCUCUGUACGAGCAUGUGGAGCGGAUGCACCUCAUUGGGAGGAGCCGGGAGCAGCUGAAGCUCCUGGGGGAUUACCUGGGCCUGUGCCGGAGUGGCGCCCUGAAGGAGCUCAGCAAGAGGCUCAACCACCGGAAUUAUCUCUUGGAGUCUCCGCAUAGGUUCCGUGUUGCUGACCUCCGGCAGAUCGCAGAUGAGGUAUAUGAAGGAUUCCUCAAGGCCCUGAUUGAAUUUGCCUCCCAGCAUGUCUACCACUGCGACCUGUGCACCCAGCGCAGCUUCAUCUGCCAGAUCUGCCAGCACCACGACAUCAUCUUCCCCUCUGAGUUUGACACCACAGUCAGGUGUGCCAAGUGCAAGACCGUCUUCCACCAGAGCUGCCAGGCUGUGGUGAAGAAGGGCUGCCCCCGCUGUGCUCGCUGACGCAAGUACCAGCAACAGAACGUUUUCGCCUGAUGCCCCUCUGCUGAUCCCACUCUGAAGGCCGGGGGUGAGUGUGGCUCAGCCAUCCCAGCUGGGUUUCCUAUCAGCCCAGGAUACUCACCGUGUCACAGCUGUGUCCCCUUGUCAGGAAGACCUCAGAUGUGACCAGAGCACUGGCCUCCUACAGAAAGCCCAGGAAGUCCCCAUGAUGUCCCCUGGCCCUCCCCCCACCCCUCUGCUGCAGGAGGCGUGGCCACCACCAGAUGCUCCCUGUCUGGGGCAGGCAGGGCCGUUUACUCACCAGGCCCUGGCUCACCAGCGUCCCGGCGCCUCCGUUAGGGCUGGCCAAACACUGUGGAAAGGGGACUUGGGGAACAUUUUCAAUUCCACAUUCCUGAUUAAAAGGUCUGGUUUUUUAAGGUGGGUUUUUCCCAUUCAUAUUUCAACA
This is an RNA transcript of Homo sapiens (human), 2922 nucleotides long. It is a transcript of the gene named pleckstrin homology and RUN domain containing M1 pseudogene 1, with no coding region annotated. The transcript has 11 exons. The record is from RefSeq and is marked validated. NCBI's taxonomy places the organism in Eukaryota, Metazoa, Chordata, Mammalia, Primates, Hominidae.